Molecule: ribosomal RNA, 162 nt
Filed under: Eucalyptus leucophloia subsp. euroa
Lineage: Eukaryota; Viridiplantae; Streptophyta; Magnoliopsida; Myrtales; Myrtaceae
Description: 5.8S ribosomal RNA
Rfam family: 5.8S ribosomal RNA
About the family: 5.8S ribosomal RNA (5.8S rRNA) is a component of the large subunit of the eukaryotic ribosome. It is transcribed by RNA polymerase I as part of the 45S precursor that also contains 18S and 28S rRNA.
Source: RNAcentral
AUAACGACUCUCGGCAACGGAUAUCUCGGCUCUCGCAUUCGAUGAAGAACGUAGCGAACUGCGAUACUUGGUGUGAAUUGCAGAAUCCCGUGAACCAUCGAGUCUUUGAACGCAAGUUGCGCCCGAAACCUUUGUCGAGGGCACGUUUUCCCUGGUGUCACA